Molecule: small RNA, 550 nt
Filed under: Pan troglodytes (chimpanzee)
Lineage: Eukaryota; Metazoa; Chordata; Mammalia; Primates; Hominidae
Description: retained intron
Source: RNAcentral
CUGUGGCAAGGGCUGGGGAGGUCCAAUUUCUAAUCUGUGCUUUGUCCCAUCUCCACUGUUCCCCACCCCUAGGUUUUCGUAACACCCCAGGGCCUGUAAGGUUUGGUGUUUCCCUUUCAAGAUGCCACUUUCAGACUUUAUUCUGGCUCUGAAGGACAAUCCCUACUUUGGGGCUGGAUUUGGGCUGGUGGGUGUGGGCACAGCCCUGGCCCUGGCCCGGAAGGGUGUCCAACUGGGCCUGGUGGCAUUCCGGCGCCAUUACAUGAUCACACUGGAAGUCCCUGCUCGAGACAGGAGCUAUGCCUGGUUGCUUAGCUGGCUCACCCGCCACAGUACCCGUACUCAGCACCUCAGUGUCGAGACUUCGUACCUUCAGCAUGAGAGUGGCCGCAUUUCCACUAAGUUUGAAUUUGUCCCCAGCCCUGGAAACCAUUUUAUCUGGUAUCGGGGGAAAUGGAUUCGGGUAGAACGAAGUCGAGAGAUGCAGAUGAUAGACUUGCAGACGGGGACUCCUUGGGAAUCUGUCACCUUCACGGCCCUGGGCACUGAC